This 1296-nucleotide ribosomal RNA is filed under the name Apiospora pterosperma. RNAcentral's name for it is "eukaryotic LSU rRNA". It matches the Rfam family "Eukaryotic large subunit ribosomal RNA", at positions 54 to 1434 of the family's 3401-position model. Lineage: Eukaryota; Fungi; Ascomycota; Sordariomycetes; Amphisphaeriales; Apiosporaceae. The record is from RNAcentral.
AGGAAAAGAAACCAACAGGGAUUCCCCUAGUAACGGCGAGUGAAGCGGGAACAGCUCAAAUUUGAAAUCUGGCCCUUGGGUCCGAGUUGUAAUUUGCAGAGGAUGCUUUUGGUGCGGUGCCUUCCGAGUUCCCUGGAACGGGACGCCUUAGAGGGUGAGAGCCCCGUACGGUUGGCCACCAAGCCUGUGUAAAGCUCCUUCGACGAGUCGAGUAGUUUGGGAAUGCUGCUCAAAAUGGGAGGUAUAUUUCUUCUAAAGCUAAAUACUGGCCAGAGACCGAUAGCGCACAAGUAGAGUGAUCGAAAGAUGAAAAGCACUUUGAAAAGAGGGUUAAAUAGCACGUGAAAUUGUUGAAAGGGAAGGGUUUAUGACCAGACUUUUUCUAGGGGGAUCAUCCGGUGUUCUCACCGGUGCACUUCCCCUAGUUGAGGCCAGCAUCGGUUUCUGUAGGGGGAUAAAAGCUUCGGGAAUGUGGCUCCUUCGGGAGUGUUAUAGCCCGUUGCAUAAUACCCUUACGGGGACCGAGGUUCGCGCAUUGCAAGGAUGCUGGCGUAAUGGUUAUUAACCACCCGUCUUGAAACACGGACCAAGGAGUCGAACAUUUGUGCGAGUGUUUGGGUGUUAAACCCUCACGCGUAAUGAAAGUGAACGGAGGUGAGAGCCCUUCGGGGUGCAUCAUCGACCGAUCCUGAUGUCUUCGGAUGGAUUUGAGUAAGAGCAUAACUGUUCGGACCCGAAAGAUGGUGAACUAUGCGUGGAUAGGGUGAAGCCAGAGGAAACUCUGGUGGAGGCUCGCAGCGGUUCUGACGUGCAAAUCGAUCGUCAAAUCUGCGCAUGGGGGCGAAAGACUAAUCGAACCAUUGACCAGCGGUCAAAAUAAUCACUAGGUGGUUAAGAGGGGGCCCGCGAGGGCCGUUGAGAGAUCCUAGGCUGGUCUCAGUUACCCUGUAGCUACCCUGUAGCGACUUGGUGAGUUACCCUAGAGCUACCCUGUAGCGACUUGGUAGGUCACCCUGGAGCUACCCUGUAGCUACCCUGUAGCUGAGCCGGCCGACACCGCUAAAGUGCGGGGACAUCCCUUUAAAGGGCCAAAGGCUACCGCUACGCGCUGAAAAGCGUGCUAGCACCGAGAAUAGUGCUCUCGGGUAUGGUAAUAACGCCUGCGGCUGGGACGACCUGCAGCCAACCCCGCCUCAGGGGAGAGUUCACAGACUAAACAGCGGUGGGUCAGCAGCUCCGGCUGCUGGCCUAAGAUAUAGUCGACCCAGGGGCUGAAAAAGCCGCCUAAACAAAGCG